ACCCACAUAAAGUGGGUAUGCCACUUUAAGAGAAGAGGUUAAGGAAGCUGGGUGGUCUGCCUGGCCAAUGAGAAGUUUGGUUUCCAGAGCGUCUGGACCAAUCAGGGUGCAGGCUGCCGUUGUGGAUCCCGCCCUUCUCCCCCGGGUCUGCAGUACCGUUGGUUUUGCUCUAGAGAUCCGACGCGGUGAGACUGCUGAGCGGGGCAGCGCCAGAGUAUGUAUCCCGACAGUUAAAAGUAUUUUUUACGUGCUGUAUUAACUGUAUUGUGGAUAAACUCUUUUGUAAAUAGAUUUUAUGUUGAUUGUCCAGCUUUUGUGCUGGAAAUUAUUUAUUAAAUGAAUACAAACUGAACUUCAGUUUUUUACCGUUAGAGCCGUUAGGAAUCGUUGGCUCUUUCUGGCAGUUAUUUCAGCUUGUUCUUCGUAGAUAAAAGUGCCCCACGCAUCCGGAUUGAGACCCACUAUACGGUUGUCUGAAGUGUGUCGCACUGAGAUUGGUGAGCAUAUCCUGAACCUUUUAUUUGUGUUUUUGUCGUUUGUUACAUUGUUAAAAAAAUAUCCGUUGUUUUAGUAACUAGGUAAUGUUUUGUUACUGUGUUGGAAAGAAGGAUUAAAGCUAGAACGGCUUGGUAAAGUCCUGUAUUUCUGCUGGUCCUGUCUGUUGACAGGUCAGGUUUUUUUUUAUACUGGAUCAUUCCUGAAGUGGAUCCCUCCUUUGAUAUUGAUGGCGAGCCUUCCCACCUGGACCUAAAGAGAGAACCAGAUUUCGUCUAUCCCAUUUGGAGUCAUGCUGCACCCUGCGGUGUGGUAGGAGAGCAACAUACAUCUUCACACACGGUUAUGUGUGAAACCUACAGCUGACAUUCUCCAUUAUUAUUGUUUUUUUUUUAUUUAUUGAUUUUUGGACAAUACUGUUUGGAUUGUUUUAUUUCGGACAUUGUGACGCACAGCUGUGGUGGAAAUUCUCCUGUGAAUGAAGUUGAAUCAAACCAAAUUGGGAUUAAUUUGAUUAAUCUGCUGACUAAUACAAUUUGGAGUGCAGAUUACCAGGGUGCACCCGAAUUAUUUGAAAUUAAGAAUUAGCACUUGGCCAAGUAUUAUUGUUAUUUCUUUUUUUUUUUUCAUUUUAUUGUGUGUAAUUUUAUUUUCAUAAUUGUGUGUUUUGUGCAACUGUUAAUUGUGUGUUUUCUGUCACUAAAACCAGUUCUUUAAAUACACCCAACUGCCCUUGUGUGUCAUUUAAACACUCCACUGUGCUCCGAUAGCCGAACCUAUUGGCCCAUUUAUCCAAAAUAUAUGUAAUACCCUUCUCUACUGUGUUACAGAGGAAGCUAUGGCGAGCCAGCCAGGAGCAUGAGUGUGUGUGUUUAAGUGUCAGACAUCUUACACAUAUUGUUAGAACGUGCCAAGUACUUCUCCUUAAAAACAAAAAAAAAAUAAAAAACCAAAUAUGGAUGUGGUACUCCGGGAGUCCAUCCAAAUUCCCCAUUCUGUGGUUGUUAGUGGUUUAACAGGGUCAGAGACAGAUGAGGAAGUGUCAACCUUUCUCCAGAAGUAUGGUUCCAUUAACCGUUACAUUUGCUUAGAUGAUCCUAAGUCAGAUUACCAUAAAAACAUGAUCGUUGAGUUUGCACAUGAAACUGCCAUGCAGACAUUGGAACCAUUGUUGCCUCUUCAGUUUCCAAGCAUGACUCAAGCAGGCAUUGUGUAUGAGUUAAAGGCUUUAGGAAGUGUCUACACCAUAGAUGCCAGAAG
Molecule: long non-coding RNA, 1755 nt
Organism: Xiphophorus hellerii (green swordtail)
Lineage: Eukaryota; Metazoa; Chordata; Actinopteri; Cyprinodontiformes; Poeciliidae
Exons: 2
Source: RefSeq, a predicted model, not a curated record